RNAcentral lists this ribosomal RNA (429 nucleotides) under Bacteroidota bacterium. Its description in RNAcentral is "Bacteroidetes bacterium partial 16S ribosomal RNA". It matches the Rfam family "Bacterial small subunit ribosomal RNA", at positions 355 to 776 of the family's 1533-position model. The record is from RNAcentral. Lineage: Bacteria; Pseudomonadati; Bacteroidota.
UAGGGAAUCUUCGGCAAUGGGGGGAACCCUGACCGAGCAACGCCGCGUGAGUGAAGAAGGUUUUCGGAUCGUAAAGCUCUGUUGUUAAGGAAGAACGAGUGUGAGAAUGGAAAGUUCAUACUGUGACGGUACUUAACCAGAAAGGGACGGCUAACUACGUGCCAGCAGCCGCGGUAAUACGUAGGUCCCGAGCGUUGUCCGGAUUUAUUGGGCGUAAAGCGAGCGCAGGCGGUUAGAUAAGUCUGAAGUUAAAGGCAGUGGCUCAACCAUUGUAAGCUUUGGAAACUGUUUAACUUGAGUGCAGAGGGGGAGAGUGGAAUUCCAUGUGUAGCGGUGAACUGCGUAGAUAUAUAGAGGAACACCGGUGGCGAAAGCGGCUCUCUGGUCUGUAACUGACGCUGAGGUUCGAAAGCGUGGGUAGCAAACAGG